UGUGUGUGUGUGUGUGUUUGGGGGUGGGGGGUGAGAUGAGUGUUUUUAUGUUGGGGGGUCUAUAUCCACACAUGUAUGUAUAUAUGUAUGUAUGUAUUCGUGGCAUGCAUGCGUACACACACACACACACACACACACACACACAAAUACAUACAUAUAUACAUACAUACAUGUGUAGAUAGAUAGAGAGACAGAUAGAUAGAUAGAUAGAAGGCACAAGUCUUACAACAUAAAAUCAAUUAUGAAUCAAUGUGCAAUAUUUUUUAUACCCUUCCCCCCCACACAUAACACUCAUCUCACCCACUCAGACACACACACUUCAUCCCUCUCACACAUAUGUACUUACCUGCCCCCCCCACCACCACCACAACCACACACACACACACUCACACACACAUACAUAUGACAUCUUUAAUGAUAUACUCUGAUCACAGUACCCAUGCACAGUAACUUGGUUGGGCAACCGCAUCAUUUCAUUAUGUCUUGCUGGAUAACUCUGUGUAUGUCACAAAUUAUCUUUGUAUUCUUCUAUAUUAACGAAAAGAUCACAUAAUGUUUGUUUGUCAUGUUUUACAGGAUUCUACACAUUUUCAGUCCAAGCCUGAUGCAGGGCAGUUCUCCCGGGUUAAGGGGUCCCUGCUGCAGUUUCACCAGUAAAGAAAAUUACUUGUUACAGUUCACUUGAAGGACCACAUAAGCCAUGCAGUGGUGCAUGGAGGAGCGCCAAGAGGACAUAAAGUGGAAGUUUGUAAGGGACAUUGGUCCAGCGUGGUACAGAGUCAUCGUAGGUUAUUCUGUGGGGAGGUGACAGGGCCUGCCGUUCUCCAGAUGGACAGUAAAAAUCAACAGAAUGCCAUCAAAGACUACCUGGAGGGAGAAUCGGAGGAUAUAUUGAAGCAAGGAAUCUCUCUGUGUAGUCUAUGUAUGUAUGUGUGUGUACUGCAUGUCAAGAACUGUUUAUCUGAUCAUUCAGCUGCUCAGACUUUAUAAUAUUUGGAGCAUACCUUUUGUUAAACAACCAGUCAAAAGUUUUUGAACAGUGAGAUUUUUUUAUGUUUUUAAAGAAAUAUCUUCUGCUCAUCAAGCCUGCAUUUAUUUAAUCCGAAGUACAGCAAAAACAGUCCAAUUUUAAAAUAUUUGUAUAAUAUUUUGCUUUUGUAAUAUAUUUUGCUAUUUAAAAUAACAAUUUUCUAUAUUUCUAUUAAAAUGAAAUUUAUUCCUGUGAUUUCAAAGGUGACUUACUCCAGUCACAUGAUCCUUCAUUCUAAUAUGCUGAUUUGAUGCUCAAAAAACAUUUUAUUAUUAUUAUGUUAAUACACUGAAGACUGGAGUAAUGAUGAAGAAAAUUCAGCUUUGAUCACAGGAAUAAACUGCAUUUUUAAAAUACAUUCAAAUAGAAAGCAGUUCUUUUAAAUUGUAAAAAUAUUUCACAUUACUGUUUUUGCUGUGUUUUUGGAUCAAAUAAAUCCUGGCUUGGUGAGCAGAAGAGACUUUAAAAAAUAAUAAAAAUCUUACUGUUCAAAAACUGGUGGUGUAUAUUAUUAUUAUUAUUAUUAUUAUUAUUUGUAAAAUUGUACAUGUAAUUAUUUUUGUAAAAUAAUAAAUAUAAAAAUA
Cyprinus carpio carpio is the source of this 1614-nucleotide long non-coding RNA. Lineage: Eukaryota; Metazoa; Chordata; Actinopteri; Cypriniformes; Cyprinidae. The record is from Ensembl.